RNAcentral lists this long non-coding RNA (601 nucleotides) under Medicago truncatula (barrel medic). RNAcentral describes it as "long non-coding RNA (MTRU_LNC003421)". Lineage: Eukaryota; Viridiplantae; Streptophyta; Magnoliopsida; Fabales; Fabaceae. The record is from RNAcentral.
GGAUUUAACCCCUCCAAUAGUCAGUCCUUGAACUAGAUACAAUGUUUUGGAAACAAAUUAUUAUAUUCAUUAAAAAUUCCAUAUCUCAUAAAUAAUAAAAGAAAAAGGAUUACUCAUAUUAUAACCCACAAUUCAUUAAAUGAAUUAUCACCAUCUACUUAAAAUAUAAAAUCAAUAAAUUAUAGUUGUGUAAGUUGAAAUAUUAAAACACAAUCACAAAUCUUAGGCUCCAUGGUUUGCCGACAACGCCAAAAUUACCAUCGGAGGUGGAAAAGUUAUACCCUCUUUGACACGGAUGCUUUCUUUAACAUCGAUGAUUUCAUCAAUUUUGACGCCAGGGGUGACAACAAUUUUGUUCUUACCCUUUUUUUCUUCAAUAGCCUUUUUAUAAAUUGAUGAUAAUGCUGGAUUUGGUUCAAUUUAUGUUGGCUAUAAAAGUGUGGUACUAGAUAUGAUAAACCGUCAAUGUGAUGUAGUAUGAAAGGUUUAAUAGAUUUUUUCUCACGUUACUCAGAAUCUAAAAUGCUUUUCACCAAAUCCUAUAGUUACUUGUUGUUCAUGAAGAUGGUGAAUAUUUGAUUAUGAAUACAAAUUUGAGACA